GAUGAACGCUGGCGGUAUGCCUAACACAUGCAAGUCGUACGAGAGUUUUUAACUCUAGUGGCGGACGGGUGAGUAACACGUGAGAAUUUGCCUUUAGGAGGGGAUAACAAUUGGAAACGAAUGCUAAUACCCCAUAUGCUUUUGAGUGAAACGGAUUUAUCCGGCCUAGAGAGAAGCUCGCGGCUGAUUAGCUUGUUGGUAAGGUAAGAGCUUACCAAGGCGACGAUCAGUAUCCUGGGUUUGAGAGGACGAUCAGACACACUGGAACUGAGACACGGUCCAGACUCCUACGGGAGGCAGCAGUGGGGAAUUUUCCGCAAUGGGCGAAAGCCUGACGGAGCAAUACCGCGUGAGGGAAGACUGCCUAUGGGUUGUAAACCUCUUUUUCAGGGAGGAAUAAAUGACGUGUACCUGAAGAAUAAGCAUCGGCUAACUCCGUG
This 440-nucleotide ribosomal RNA is filed under the name uncultured bacterium. RNAcentral's name for it is "bacterial SSU rRNA". It matches the Rfam family "Bacterial small subunit ribosomal RNA", at positions 28 to 507 of the family's 1533-position model. The record is from RNAcentral.